GAUGAACGCUGGCGGCGUGCCUAACACAUGCAAGUCGAGCGAUUCUCUUCGGAGAAGAGCGGCGGACGGGUGAGUAACGCGUGGGUAACCUGCCCUGUACACACGGAUAACAUACCGAAAGGUAUGCUAAUACGAGAUAAUAUGCUUUUAUCGCAUGGUAGAAGUAUCAAAGCUUUUGCGGUACAGGAUGGACCCGCGUCUGAUUAGCCAGUUGGUAAGGUAACGGCUUACCAAGGCGACGAUCAGUAGCCGACCUGAGAGGGUGAUCGGCCACAUUGGAACUGAGACACGGUCCAAACUCCUACGGGAGGCAGCAGUGGGGAAUAUUGCACAAUGGGCGAAAGCCUGAUGCAGCAACGCCGUGUGAGCGAUGAAGGCCUUCGGGUCGUAAGCUCUGUCCUCAAGGAAGAUAAUGACGGUACUUGAGGAGGAAGCCCCGGCUAACUACGUGCCAGCCGCCGCGGUAA
Molecule: ribosomal RNA, 467 nt
Filed under: uncultured bacterium
Lineage: Bacteria
Description: partial 16S ribosomal RNA
Rfam family: Bacterial small subunit ribosomal RNA
Source: RNAcentral